Molecule: unclassified non-coding RNA, 375 nt
Filed under: uncultured bacterium
Lineage: Bacteria
Description: contains 16S-23S intergenic spacer region
Source: RNAcentral
UCCGAGUUGUCCCCGGCAGUCCUCUUAGAGUCCCCGGCAUUACCCGCUGGCAACUAAGAGCAGGGGUUGUGCUCGUUGCGGCACUUAAGCCAACACCUCACGGCACGAGCUGACGACAGCCAUGCAGCACCUGUGCAGGGCCCCGAAGGACACGGGCUUUCACCCGCUUUACCCUGCAUGUCAAGCCCAGGUAAGGUUCUUCGCGUUGCAUCGAAUUAAGCCACAUGCUCCACCGCUUGUGCGGGCCCCCGUCAAUUCCUUAGAGUUUCAUUCUUGCGAACGUACUCCCCAGGUGGUAUGCUUACUGCGUUAACUGCGUCACUGCCCCCGAAGGGACAAACCGGAGGAAGGUGGGGAUGACGUCGAAUACGUAAC